GCCGUGGUAGCUCAGUGGUAGAGCAUCGAAAUCAUCAUUCGAAGGUCGCAGGGUCGAAUCCUGCCCAUGGCA
Non-coding RNA from Rhipicephalus microplus (southern cattle tick), 72 nucleotides. Lineage: Eukaryota; Metazoa; Arthropoda; Arachnida; Ixodida; Ixodidae. The record is from the annotation of a RefSeq genome assembly.